Molecule: long non-coding RNA, 2216 nt
Filed under: Sus scrofa (pig)
Lineage: Eukaryota; Metazoa; Chordata; Mammalia; Artiodactyla; Suidae
Description: lncRNA (ENSSSCG00025000473.1)
Source: RNAcentral
CCAAUACAAUUUUUUUUUCUACUGUACAGCAUGGUGACCCAGUUACACAUACAUGUAUACAUUCUUUUUUCGCCUAUUAUCAUGCUCCAUCAUAAGGGACUAGACAUAGUUCUCAGUGCUACACAGCAGGAUCUCAUUGCUAAUCCCUUCCAAAGCAAUACUUUCCCAGGGGUGGAGGGGACUGGCGUGGAGCCCACCGGACCUGCGCUCUCCUUUUCCUCCCACGCGCACAGCCCUGCAUUUUUAAAAUGGGAACGUUGAGAAAAUCUUUCUCAUAGGUUGUCCUAAGGCUUGAAUGAGAUAAAGCACUAAAAGGCUUAACUCAACGCUUAUUGGAAAUGUGCCGUGAAAGUCCUGUUUUCAAGUGGUGACACGAAUUGCCCUCCUUUUAUUUUCCGGAACAAUCCAUUGUGCAGGUCAGGGUUGUUUCUGUGGCUCUUUUGUUCGCUAAGCAAACACAUAUUGAGACCUUCUUUGGGAUAAGUGUUGUGCUGGGUGCUGAGGUACAAAGCUGAUACCUCGGUCCUUGUCAUGGGACAUCUCAGCAAUUUGAAAACAAUGUAAAUGAAAUUAUGUUUCUGUGGUUAUAGGUUUUUGAUGCAGAGUUAAACCUUACCAUUUUUGGCUAACUGAAGAAGACCCUGAAUGAUAGCAUAUUUCAGAAUAAUCAGCUCAUUCUUAUAGAAAACUUGAUAAGUACAGAUUUGAAUUAAAUUGAACUUAAUCUUCUCUAAAUACAUACCUAGUAUAAACUAGGUUAACAAGUGUUAUCUAAUAAAGAGGUCCUUGGUGAGAACCAGUUAAGAAUGACUAUAAUUAGUGAUUGUUUAUCAUUGUCAAUUUAAAUCCUUGGGUAUUCCUAAAGUACUUAGAGGUGCUUAAAAAGUGUUUGCCCUCUUAAGAGGCUUUAAAAACAUUUUCCCUACAAUCUUGUUGACACAGUUAAUUAACAGUUAGAACAAUAGACACAAACGCUUUCUUCCCAGGUUGUGCCGGGAUAAACCUCAGUCACAGCACAAGUAUUUCCAAAAUUCCGGUGUGUUUAAUGCAGAGGAAUGAGUGUUGGAUGGGGUCUCAGCUCUGGUUCACAAUGAGCUGAAAAAACAUUAAUCCAAGCGUCUUGCCACCCUUCUACCCAGCUCUACCUAAUGGGCUUUAUUCAAAAAUGUCUCAGAUUUGUAAAUUUUUGUUUUUUGUUUUUCCUAUGGAGCUGCUUUUACUUGUAAUAUCUCUGACAUGGCAAUCUCAGUCCUGAAAUGAGCCAUUAACUAGGGAGCUGUUUGUUUGUGGUUUUUUUUUUUUUUUUUUUUUUUUGCCACCAUUCCUGACAAGAAAGUCAGUACGCAUGUCAGAUCUGUGGUGUGGGACUUCAAAAUAUAAACAAACCUUACAGGAUGAAAAUACUAAUUUUCCAGGUGGAACCAGCUGUAAAUGAUGCAAAAUAUGUCCCUUUCGUUUUCACACGCCCAAAUGUGCAUCAAAGAUAGGCGUAGGCUCCUUCAGGACAGUUUGUUGGAAUACAGGGAAGGGAAGAAAAAAGUGGAGAAAAGGGGAUUUGAAAUGGAGCUGGGGCGAGCGGUGUCUGAAGGUGUGGCUCUGGGAGCCUUCUGGAAAUCUCCACAGUUGUGGGGAGGACUGGCCCUGCCCAUUUCUCACUGGGCAGGAUUUCACGCUUGUCUUUCUUCUGGACACGAGUCAGGUGUGCUGGGAUUGGAGCAAGCCUGCCAGGCCCCUUUGCCACUUGCUUGGCAAUAUAUCUGGAGUCUUUGCCACCCCCCUGGGGAGACUCAGAGCUUGGCCACAGCUGGGAUCUUUCUGUCUGCAGGGCCAUGGGGAGCACAGAGGCUGUUAUUAAGGCUGGGACAAACACCAGAUUCUAACGAUAUGAACAUAACCCUUGUAUGAAAACUGAAAAAGAAAAGAAAAGAAAAAAGACAGUUCUUUAGGUGGAUUUGAGUUCACUUUGGCUUUUCGCUGUCAUUGAAUGCACUCAAUGGCUGGGAGGUACUAGAAGAGCCUGGGUCACAGUCCUCAAGUGAAUUUCCUGGACCUGCACAUCUGCACCCAUGAACUUGACACAAACUCAAAUCCUUGGGCCCUUCCCCAGAUCUGUUGCAUCAGGGGCUCUGGGGCUGAGGCCCAGUGAUUUGUGUUUUCCAAGCUCUCCAGGUGAUCUUGAUGCUGUGGAAGUUUGCAAAUCCCUGGCUUAGAACAGC